GACGAACCCUUUGCGGCGUGCUUAACACAUGCAAGUCGAACGGAAAGGCCCUGCUUUUGUGGGGUGCUCGAGUGGCAAACGGGUGAGUAACACGUGAGUAACCUGCCCUUGACUUUGGGAUAACUUCAGGAAACUGGGGCUAAUACCGGAUAGGAGCUCCUGCUGCAUGGUGGGGGUUGGAAAGUUUCGGCGGUUGGGGAUGGACUCGCGGCUUAUCAGCUUGUUGGUGGGGUAGUGGCUUACCAAGGCUUUGACGGGUAGCCGGCCUGAGAGGGUGACCGGCCACAUUGGGACUGAGAUACGGCCCAGACUCCUACGGGAGGCAGCAGUGGGGAAUAUUGCACAAUGGGCGGAAGCCUGAUGCAGCAACGCCGCGUGCGGGAUGACGGCCUUCGGGUUGUAAACCGCUUUCGCCUGUGACGAAGCGUGAGUGACGGUAAUGGGUAAAGAAGCACCGGCUAACUACGUGCCAGCAGCCGCGGUGAUACGUAGGGUGCGAGCGUUGUCCGGAUUUAUUGGGCGUAAAGGGCUCGUAGGUGGUUGAUCGCGUCGGAAGUGUAAUCUUGGGGCUUAACCCUGAGCGUGCUUUCGAUACGGGUUGACUUGAGGAAGGUAGGGGAGAAUGGAAUUCCUGGUGGAGCGGUGGAAUGCGCAGAUAUCAGGAGGAACACCAGUGGCGAAGGCGGUUCUCUGGGCCUUUCCUGACGCUGAGGAGCGAAAGCGUGGGGAGCGAACAGGCUUAGAUACCCUGGUAGUCCACGCUGUAAACGGUGGGUACUAGGUGUGGGGUCCAUUCCACGGGUUCCGUGCCGUAGCUAACGCUUUAAGUACCCCGCCUGGGGAGUACGGCCGCAAGGCUAAAACUCAAAGGAAUUGACGGGGCCCCGCACAAGCGGCGGAGCAUGCGGAUUAAUUCGAUGCAACGCGUAGAACCUUACCUGGGUUUGACAUGGAUCGGGAGUGCUCAGAGAUGGGUGUGCCUCUUUUGGGGUCGGUUCACAGGUGGUGCAUGCCUGUCGUCAGCUCGUGUCGUGAGAUGUUGGGUUAAGUCCCGCAACGAGCGCAACCCUUGUUCACUGUUGCCAGCACGUUAUGGUGGGGACUCAGUGGAGACCGCCGGGGUCAACUCGGAGGAAGGUGGGGAUGACGUCAAGUCCUCAUGCCCCUUAUGUCCAGGGCUUCACGCAUGCUACAAUGGCUGGUACAGAGAGUGGCGAGCCUGUGAGGGUGAGCGAAUCUCGGAAAGCCGGUCUCAGUUCGGAUUGGGGUCUGCAACUCGACCUCAUGAAGUCGGAGUCGCUAGUAAUCGCAGAUCAGCAACGCUGCGGUGAAUACGUUCCCGGGGCU
This 1347-nucleotide ribosomal RNA is filed under the name uncultured bacterium. RNAcentral's name for it is "bacterial SSU rRNA". It matches the Rfam family "Bacterial small subunit ribosomal RNA", at positions 28 to 1381 of the family's 1533-position model. The record is from RNAcentral.